UACAGAGGGUGCAAGCGUUAAUCGGAAUUACUGGGCGUAAAGCGUGCGUAGACGGUUAUGUAAGUCAGAUGUGAAAGCCCCGGGCUCAACCUGGGAAUUGCAUUUGAGACUGCAUAGCUAGGGUGCGGAAGAGGGAAGCGGAAUUUCCGGUGUAGCGGUGAAAUGCGUAGAUAUCGGAAGGAACACCAGUGGCGAAAGCGGCUUCCUGGUCCAGCACCGACGUUCAGGCACGAAAGCAUGGGGAGCAAACAGG
RNAcentral lists this ribosomal RNA (253 nucleotides) under uncultured bacterium. RNAcentral describes it as "partial 16S ribosomal RNA". It matches the Rfam family "Bacterial small subunit ribosomal RNA", at positions 524 to 776 of the family's 1533-position model. The record is from RNAcentral.